This 208-nucleotide ribosomal RNA is filed under the name Meraporus graminicola. RNAcentral's name for it is "partial 28S ribosomal RNA". It matches the Rfam family "Eukaryotic large subunit ribosomal RNA", at positions 967 to 1163 of the family's 3401-position model. The record is from RNAcentral. Lineage: Eukaryota; Metazoa; Arthropoda; Insecta; Hymenoptera; Pteromalidae.
UUUCCCUCAGGAUAGCUGGCACUCGCUUGAGCGAGUCUCAUCUGGUAAAGCGAAUGAUUAGAGGCCUUGGGGCCGAAACGACCUCAACCUAUUCUCAAACUUUAAAUGGGUGAGAUCUCUGGCUUGCUUGACGUGAAGCCACGAGAUUAUUGCAAUGGAUCAGAGUGCCAGUGGGCCAAUUUUGGUAAGCAGAACUGGCGCUGUGGGA